RNAcentral lists this unclassified non-coding RNA (315 nucleotides) under plant metagenome. RNAcentral's name for it is "partial contains 5.8S ribosomal RNA, internal transcribed spacer 2, and large subunit ribosomal RNA". The stretch from base 1 to 105 matches the Rfam family "5.8S ribosomal RNA", at positions 50 to 154 of the family's 154-position model. The record is from RNAcentral.
GAACUGCGAUAAGUAAUGUGAAUUGCAGAAUUCAGUGAAUCAUCGAGUCUUUGAACGCACAUUGCGCCCCCUGGCAUUCCGGGGGGUAUGCCUGUCCGAGCGUCAUUGCUGCCCUUCAAGCCCGGCUUGUGUGUUGGGUCGUCGUCCCCUCCGGGGGACGGGCCCGAAAGGCAGCGGCGGCACCGCGUCCGGUCCUCGAGCGUAUGGGGCUUUGUCACCCGCUCGAUAAGGACCGGCCGGGCGCCAGCCGGCGUCUCCAACCUUUUUUUCUCAGGUUGACCUCGGAUCAGGUAGGGAUACCCGCUGAACUUAAGC